Molecule: long non-coding RNA, 4677 nt
Organism: Triplophysa dalaica
Lineage: Eukaryota; Metazoa; Chordata; Actinopteri; Cypriniformes; Nemacheilidae
Exons: 5
Source: RefSeq, a predicted model, not a curated record
CCUACAACAUUUCAAAUGCUAUUAGAUUGUUAAUGAUAAUCUUUAAUCCUUAAUUUUUAUAUUUUUACUAAGCCUUGUUGUGCAAGCACUGUUGAGCUUGUGCAGAGGCAGCAGCUUUUGCCAGAGGGGAACUGGAAUCCCCUGGUUGGGCCUGGGUUCCCCUGAGGUUUUUUUUCUCGAUGGGAGUUUUGGGUUCCUCACCACCGUUUGCAUAUUGUUUUGCACUAUCUGCCUGGCCGGGGGGGCUGCUUUAGAAUUCAUACUUGUAUUAAAUGUGUCUCAUGUACAGCUGCUUUGUAACAAUGAAAAUUGUAAAAAGCGCUAUAUAAAUAAAGUUGAGUUGAGUUGAGUUGAGUUGAGCAAACCGGAAACUGACGAGGGUUCUUCCUGUUUAAUACAGAAGUAAUGCACGCAUGCUCCGCGGGCACCACAGCAAAAAUGGCUGCAAAAACUGUUUAUAAACUCUCACUGCUGUGUGUGAGCACUUGGAUGGGUGAAAUGCAGAGCACAAAUAUGUAUGGGAAACAUGUAGUCAUUUACAUUUACAUUUAGGCAUUUGGCAGACGCUUUUAUCCAAAGCGACUUACAGUGCACUUACAGGGACAAUCCCCCUGGAGCAACUUGGAGUAAAGUGUCUUGCUCAAGGACACACUGGUGGUGGCUGCUGGGCUACUCGGCCAAACGACACUUCUAAGAAAGAAAUAACUACAUAUUUAUGGUAGAAAAUGUUGCUAGAAAAUUUAAAUGUCUAUGAUUAGUAUGCCCAGUUGAGACCUCUAUAGCACAGGUGUCAAACUCAGUUCCUGGAGGGCCCCAGCUCUGCACAGUUUAGCUCCAACCCUAAUCAAACACACCUGAUUCAGCUAAUCAUCUUCAGGAUUACUAUAAACUUCCAAGCAUGUGUGGUUAAGAGCUGGUUGGAGGUAAACUGUGCAGAGCUGAGGCCCUCCAGGAAUUGGGUUUCACACCCCUGCUCUAUAGGAUCUCUGUGUAACCCAAAAAUUGACAUUUGAGGCAUUGUGUCCUAUGCAGCAGCACCGUGUCCUUUCAUCUUUUGCACCAUUCUUUGUUUCACAGUGUAACAUGUAUAUGGCUUAAUUUACAGUAAUGCUGCUCUUGACUACAAAUUAUUGAGACCUGCAUCAUUUUCUCCAGUAACAUUUUAACUUAAUGGCCUACUCAAUGUUUGCUCAUCAGUGAGUGACAAAAAACCGCUGCACAUAACCUGGGACAAAAAUAUAGCACAAUUAUAGUUUUUCAUGACUCUAAAUUUAAAUGGUGGACAAUUUAUAACUUCGCUGGACGAAUGGGCCUGGCACAAAGUCUGGUCUGUGUUUGUUGAGCAGUCUGGCCAGUGGUAUUUUUAUUAAAUUUAUAUUAACAUUAAUUAACAUAUUUUUUAUUAUUUAAAACUUAGAAAAUAUUAUAUUGACUUCAUUAGAAUAAUUGAUGGCAUGUGAAAAAAUAUUAGAUUAUUAAUUGUGUAAUCAUAUUUUAAGUGUCUAUUAAGUAAUCAAUCAAUCCAUUAUCCAUCCAUCCAUCAUGGGAAAUCAGAAAUAUUAUGAAGCUGAUACUUUAAAAUGUAAGCUAUCUUUUUAAGAGCAUGGCGCGCAAAACGGAUCGCGCCCAAAACGGAUCGCGCAUACGCAGGCCACACAACGAACGUUUGUUCAUUCCAUGGCGCUUCACUUGGUGAAUACAGAGCAUGAUCUCUUAUUUAGUCUUAUCUUCAUGUGUUUAUUGCGAUUAUUACUUAAUCAAGAUGCGACUUGAUAUUACAUUAUCGUAUAUUGACGUGUUUUGAAGUAUAUUUUACAUUUAAAUCUAGCAUAUGGGUAUGCCUAUUUCAGCUAAAAACAUACCAAAGUAUAUUUAUAUUUUUUAACCUUCCGAAAGUGCAGUAAAAUAAGUAAAUGUUUCAUUAUCGAUUUCAGUCACUCUUGUCUUUUAUUGAAUACUUUGUUGAACUUUGAGCAGGGCGCCAAUAUUUGAAUUCAGUGGUUGCUCACUGAUGGAAGAUCUGUUUGACCUCAAAAUUAUUUCACAAGAGUUUUAUGUACUUUGUUGUGUGCGGGUUAUGAUAUUCUAGAUUUUGCAUGGCAUAGAACAUAUUUAAGAUGAUUAGUCAUCAUUGUUGACUGAUUAUCUCCAGCAAGUUUGUGUUUCUUUCCAGAAAGUUCUUGGAACGUUCUGAUAAGUUUAAACAGUAAAAAUACCACCAUAUGUUUAAAUGAAGCUGUUAAAACCGUGUCCUAACCAAACACGAUGCGACACGCGAUAAAAUGUGUCUUUUCUAUGUUAACCAAAGGUUUUGUCCUAACCAGCCUCGAUAGCCCUGCGUGACGAACAACGGCUGUUUCUGUUUUAGAAACGGGACCCAUAAUAUCUCUCUUCUGCUGUAGCGUGCGAGGCUGUGUGGACUGAGACAAACUGUUCUGAUUAGCUGUGUCUUCUGAUUGAUUGACGCGUCCCGCCCCUUUUCAGUAUGGACAAACAAAUUGCUUAUAGCAGUCGCGUUUGGUUAGUCGCGUAAUGCACUUCUAGGUGGUUGCCCUGCGGGCCUAUUACAAAAACUGCAACUGGUUCAAAACGCGGCAGCUCGAGUUCUUACACGUACAAAAAAGUAUGAGCAUAUAACCCCGGUUCUGUCAACCUUGCACUGGUUACCUAUAAAGCAUCGCAUUAACUUUAAGAUCUUGCUUAUUACCUAUAAAGCCCUACAUGGUCUAGCGCCGCAGUAUUUGAAUGAACUUCUAUUGUAUUACAGACCACCACGUACAUUACGCUCUAAGGGGUCCUGUCAGUUGGUAAUACCUAGAAUUUCAAAAUCAAGUGCAGGUGGUAGAUCCUUUUCUUAUCUAGCGCCUAAACUUUGGAAUAUUCUUCCCUGCACGGUCCGGGAGGCAGACACACUCUGUCAGUUUAAAUCUAGACUAAAGACUCAUCUUUUUAAUCUUGCAUACACUACACCUCCAUAAUAUUAAUCCUCAGAGGAUUUAGGCUGCAUUAUUUAGAUCAACCGGAACCAGGAACACAUCCAACAACAAAUGAUGUACUUGUUGCAUCAAAGAGUGCAGAACAGUACUCUACUCUCAGCCAGUCUUGUCUCUUUGUUCCAAGGUUACCGCAGGAUGCAGUUCAUGCCCAGACCUGAUGGCAGAGCUGAGAAUGGGAAGCGGUGACCUGACAAGUGCUAAGAGGAUAGAGCUGGAUAAAGGACGCGACAACUUUGUUUUUUUCUACAACAUUUCAAAUGCUAUUAGAUUGUUAAUGAUAAUCUUUAAUUUUUAUAUUUUUAUUAAGCCUUGUUGUGCAAGCACUGAUGAGCUUGUGCAGAGGCAGCAGCUUUUGCCAGAGGGGAACUGGAAUCCCCUGGUUGGGCCUGGGUUCCCCUGAGGUUUUUUUUCUCGAUGGGAGUUUUGGGUUCCUCACCACCGUUUGCAUAUUGUUUUGCACUAUCUGCCUGGCCGGGGGGGCUGCUUUAGAAUUCAUACUUGUAUUAAAUGUGUCUCAUGUACAGCUGCUUUGUAACAAUGAAAAUUGUAAAAAGCGCUAUAUAAAUAAAGUUGAGUUGAGUUGAGUUGAGUUAGGAUGAGGUGAACCUAUUACUGUAAUAUAUAUCAUAUUAUAUCAUCGUGUUUCAGACAAAACCCUUUAAUGAAGUACUAUUUCAUACCUUUACUAUUUUUGUUUCUUCUUCAGAAAUUGCAUCACUGCUAGGCUGUUAUUAAAUUUCCUGAAGAUAACACUGUUGAUGUUGUGCCUUCCACGUGGCUUGAUAUAACAAUAGAGGUGUUACCUAUUAUUCUCAUCUUAUGCUUCAAACUUUUAUUGUUCUAUGUGUAUCAUUAGUCUAUAGUUAUAGUCUAUUAGUAUAUUGCUAUUGGCCAUGUAACGAAGAGAUAGACCUGACACUACACUUAGAUCGAAGCAUGUUGCAUCUGUUCUGGUAUAUGCAGGUAUGAAGAAUUAGUUUGAGGUUUCUUAUGUUUUCGUGGUUUAUGCUGAUUGUCUUUUACUGAUCUUUUCUUUAUUUCCAGACAGCUACGAAGAAGCUAGGUGCAAAGCAAAACAGACAACCAUGAUCAAACUUGGAGAGUGACGAAGAUGAAAGUCAUAUUCAAAGAAAAAGAAGACCACCAGCACGAUACCAGAGAGCAUUAGCUAGUGGUGUUUUUGAAAGUACCUUACAAACAGAGAAUUGCACUGCUUCAACAUCUGAAAUCGAAGAACUUUAUCAAGGUCCAUUAUCUAAGCCUUCUUUGGAGUAAAACUCCAGGUGAUGCUGUGAGGAGGGUUUUACAAACAAUUGCAACUAACAAUGUGUGGGCUCAGUAUAGGACGAAGGGUCGAAAGGGAAAGAAAGCAUUGAAGACCUGGAAAUUUGCAGUGUUAUUACUCAAAAAAUAUUUUCAGAAGCCUGCUGCAAGAUGCAUCCGAAGGAGUCUACAAAGGUGUUUUGUGACUGUAUAGCAGACAACUUAAAGUAUGCCCCACAGCGAGGGACAAGGGUGAAGAAUGAGGAGACAGAAGAGAGGUGUACACAGAAGUCCAGUCAACAAACAGAUUACAAUUGUAGCAUCCUAAUAAUAUAUGUUUUUCUUUUAAAUUGCUGAUACAUGUUUAAUAAUUAAAUAUGUUUUAAUGUUUAAUUUGCUUAUACCUUAGUUACCUAAA